AGCUCCAAUAGCGUAUAUUAAAGUUGUUGCAGUUAGAACGCUCGUAGUCGGAUUUCGGUGUGGGACGACCGGUCUGCCGAUGGGUAUGCACUGGUCGGCUUACACUUCCUUCCGGAGACCGUGCCUACUCUUAACUGAGCGGGGGCGGGAGACGGAACUUUUACUUUGAAAAAAUCAGAGUGUUUCAAGCAGGCAGCUCGCUCUUGCAUGGAUUAGCAUGGGAUAAUGAAAUAGGACUUUGGUGCUAUUUUGUUGGUUUCGAACACCGAAGUAAUGAUGAGAAGGGACAGUCAGGGGCACUCGUAUUCCGCCGAGAGAGGUGAAAUUCUCAGACCAGCGGAAGACGAACCACUGCGAAAGCAUUUGCCAGGGAUGUUUUCACUG
Molecule: ribosomal RNA, 384 nt
Filed under: Chrysochromulina sp.
Lineage: Eukaryota; Haptophyta; Prymnesiales; Chrysochromulinaceae
Description: partial small subunit ribosomal RNA
Rfam family: Eukaryotic small subunit ribosomal RNA
Source: RNAcentral